Long non-coding RNA from Penaeus vannamei (Pacific white shrimp), 937 nucleotides. RefSeq lists it as uncharacterized. The record is from RefSeq and is a predicted model, not a curated record. Lineage: Eukaryota; Metazoa; Arthropoda; Malacostraca; Decapoda; Penaeidae.
AAAUUGCAGCGGACUUAGGAAACCGAAGCCCACGCCAGAGCACCCUUCGAGACAGUGGUUGCGAGAGAGUGGGAAGGCGACUUGUUUUGGCAAAAGUCCUGCAAGCGAUUCCUCUUUCUAUCUAUCGGGAAAUCUGCUUCCUAGAGUCAAAUUUUCAAGAUGAUCAUUCGAAGUAUUGCAACUUUGUCCUUGCUGACAUCUAUGGACAAGAUUGCCCCGGCUUGAAUAGAUUGUCCUCUUUUAUUAGCCUUUUUUGUUUUUAGUUAUCAUUUAUAUUUUUUAUGUUUCGACUUUGCAGCUGUGGUCAUUAACAUUUGAAUUGAUUAGCAUAUUUAUGAUUAUGUUUUUUAUGCUGUUGAAAGAAAGCUCAGCUGUUAAAGACCCCAGCUGAUUGUUGAAGAGACAUUACACCUCUUUGCCCUUGCGGGAAUAUAAAAGACUUAAGAUAUUAUCUGAAACUGCCAAGUCAACAGCUGAGUAAUAAUGGCUGAUGCAAAACCUAUUGACUCUGCUGGAGCCUUUGGGAUCCCCAAAUGGAUGAUGCGUAAAGGAACAAGAUUGUUUGCAUAUGGCACAACCAACUCAGAUUUUGAAGCUGCUCAAAAUGAAAACAUAUAUGUGAUCAAUUACUCAUACAAGAUUUUUAGUCAAAUGAGAAUCUACCUUUAAGUCUUGCUUUGCUUUUUUUUUUAUUAAAAGGUAUUGGAGAUAUGAUUAUAGUAUAAGAAAGGAAGAAAAGGUACUGUUAUUUGAAAUUGUGCAUGGAGUGAUUUGGUCAUCAGACACGAAUACAAAUAAAAAAUCUUUAACUUUUCAGUUUUUCUACUGUCAUCAUCCUACAUAGAAGGAUCUGCCAUUUGAGUUCAGUUGUUCAGUUCAUGAGCUGGGCUGGAAUGUGCUAAUGAGUUAUAGAUCUCAAAGACUGGCAUAUGUAUAA